Long non-coding RNA from Benincasa hispida (wax gourd), 694 nucleotides. RefSeq lists it as uncharacterized. The record is from RefSeq and is a predicted model, not a curated record. Lineage: Eukaryota; Viridiplantae; Streptophyta; Magnoliopsida; Cucurbitales; Cucurbitaceae.
UCGUCCCUUCGAUCUGAGCAGCAGCCACCCAAGCCAGUCAUUUUUCUCUCUCACGUUUCCUAAACGUCUCACUUCUUCAGUCGACCAACCACAUGUGUUCGUUCAACUUGUCGCCCGGUUCGUGAAGAUGUCGUUGGCUCCAGCUAGACUCGCUUGCAGACGUUUUCUCUCUUUCCCUCUCUGUCCAUUGCGCGCAUCUCAUCGCUGACAUUGACCCGAUCACCAUCGUUCGUGAGCCACUGCCUUGGAUUUUUCGUCGGAAAUUGCCAAACUUUGUGGAAUUUGAAGAUUUGGAUUUGAGGUAUGGAGGGAUUUCAAGAUCUUCGGUGUGCUAUCCAGCGGAUUUGGAAGUAGUUCAACAAGAUUUUUAGUAAGGGAAAAGAUACAUCGGCGAAUGAUAAGAGAAACCCAUGAUCGUGCCACUGGGACUAGACAGAUGCUUUCACUCAUGUUUUCAUAUUUUAAAAUACCAGAAUUUAGAAAACUUUUAGUGUUUGUCUGGCUGGUGUUUCUAGACAAUUUUUUUUUUUUUUAGUAAUGUUUUGUUUAAAUUAAGGGUACCCUGAUGAAUGAUUUUUAGUUAUUUAGCUUUAUAAAAGUUAUUUAUUUUAUAACAUUUAUUUAGUUUUAGCCAAUUCAUGAAAAGUGUCAUUUUUAGAUUUAUUGACCUAUCACAAAUUCUAGGGAGUCAGGU